This 228-nucleotide unclassified non-coding RNA is filed under the name Hevea brasiliensis (rubber tree). The record is from RNAcentral. Lineage: Eukaryota; Viridiplantae; Streptophyta; Magnoliopsida; Malpighiales; Euphorbiaceae.
ACUAACCAAACAAACACUACUACUAACCACGCGCUCCCACCGCACCUGCUUGUAACCGCAACUUUCCUAUCCUAAAUGUACCAUCCACGGUUAACCAGUUUACUUCUUCACACCGUCACCUGGGCCCUACACACUCAACAAAUCCGACGGCGGAGAUCUCUCCUUUUCAGCAUCUUAGGGUUUUUUCUUUACCCAAACGCUUUUUAUUCUUUAUAUCCUGCCGUCUUG